CAAGUAGGCGGUCUUGUCGGUCAGAUGUGAAAGCCCAGGGCUCAACCCUGGACGUGCAUUUGAAACAGCAAGACUUGAGUACGGGAGAGGAGAGCGGAAUUCCUGGUGUAGAGGUGAAAUUCGUAGAUAUCAGGAGGAACACCGAUGGCGAAGGCAGCUCUCUGGACCGAUACUGACGCUGAGGCGCGAAGGCGUGGGGAGCAAACAGGAUUAGAUACCCUGGUAGUC
RNAcentral lists this ribosomal RNA (228 nucleotides) under uncultured bacterium. RNAcentral describes it as "partial 16S ribosomal RNA". It matches the Rfam family "Bacterial small subunit ribosomal RNA", at positions 568 to 795 of the family's 1533-position model. The record is from RNAcentral.